Molecule: long non-coding RNA, 3031 nt
Filed under: Homo sapiens (human)
Lineage: Eukaryota; Metazoa; Chordata; Mammalia; Primates; Hominidae
Description: HSALNT0360880
Source: RNAcentral
UGGGGGCAGAGAAAGGGAUAGGAGGAUGUGAUUGGGGGCUAGAUGCCCCUCAUUGGCGGGUCCCUGCAGCGGACCACAUGGUCACACACCGUCCCUCCCCACAAGGAGAACAGCAAAGAGUCCCGAGGAGAUGGCUGUAGGCGGGUGACAGGCCAGAGGGCCUGCUACAAACAACCGACGAAGGACUGUGGAAACAGAAGCGCGUGAGGGGCUCCUACAAAUGCAAAAGGGAAGACGCAGCCCACAGAGGCCAACGGGAUUGCACAGAAGAGGAGCACGCUGAGCAGCCCACAGGGGAAGCGACGGGAACUCCAGAACAGCCAAGGAAACGCAGGUCAGAGGACCAGGAGACCAAUGCACGGGAGAAGCCACAGGCGCCCCUGCACACUCCCAGUGCUGCGCGUAUCAGAGCACGGGUUUGGAAACCUGUUGGACUGUUUUUAAAAUUGAACGCUCCCAACCCCUGGCCUAGCCCGUCCACCCCUGGAGGUGCAGACGAGGGCACUCGCGGCGGCCCCAUUUCACAUCAGGUCCCUGGGGGCUGGGCAGAUGGACACCAUGCAUCAUGCCGCCCCCUCACAGGGAGGAUCCUGCAGCAGGCAAGGUGAGUGCCCGCAGGCACAGUGCACGGGGCUCCUGCAGGGUGACGGGCGCAGGCACAUCCCAGCAGACACAGGGACACGAGAGUCUGGGGCCAGAACCUUCCGGAGGAGGGGAAUUUGCAGGGCCUCAGAGCAUCCCCUGAUAUUUGUUAAUUACUGAGGCAGUCUCCAAGCUGUCUCUGGCUGCGUCACACCUGGUCCCUGCACCUGAGUCCCUCCCCUCUGCCAGCCGCAUCCUCGCCAAGCUCAAGACCUGCCUCCUCCAGAAAGUCUCACUUGACUGCUUGAGCCAGUUGGCCCUUGAGGGCUGCCAGAUCAGCGGCGGCAUUAGAUCCUCACAGGAGGAGGAGGAAGAACCCCAUUGUGCACUGCGCAUGCAGGGAUCUCGGCUGCUCCUUAUGAGAAUCUAAUGCCUGAUGAUCUGAGGUGAGACGAUUUCAUCCCAAAACCAUCCCACCACACCCACAGCUGUGGGAAAAUUGUCUUCUGCGAAACUGGUCCCUGGUGCUGAAAAGGUUGGGGAGCACUGCACUAAGGCAUCCGACGCCCCGGUCACAGGGAGAUGGGCUCAGGUAGACACCAUCUGAGCACCCAGUGCCACACUGCAGCCUCCCUGCGGGGGGAAGUUCUUGCCCUAGUUGGCCCACGGGGCUCACCUGGCCCUUCUGUCCUAUCCUAGACCAGUAGUUCUUCCUGCCUCAAUCAACCCUUCCUCUGACUCCCUCCUUGGCCUUCCCGACAGCCCACGGACAGAUACCUGCACUCAGGCGUGGCCUGCCACACUGAAACUUCUCCCCCGUCCUGGGUUAGAGGAGAAACCUUCAUCCUCCGACAGAUAUGCAGGAAGGGGCGUGGCACCUGCCCAGGCAGGAGAGGCACCUCUGUCUCAGCGCAGAGGGCAGCCUCCCUGGGGGGGACUGGUGGUCUGGGGGACGUGGGCAUCACGGCUCCAGCUCUGCAGCUUGCCUCCGUAGGGGCCCGGGAAGUGUUGUGUUGGAGGGAUUCAUGGGAGAAUGGCCCCUCACAUGCCUGGCUUCAGACCCAGGAUGAGGGUCCCUCCUCUGCCCAGAACCCCAGCUCCUCUGGCAGAGGCUGAAAUUAGAGACCCCCUCACAUCAGCCUGGGCCGAAAGUUGAAAGCCGGCAGGAUAAGCCCAGACCCCUGAGAAGGAAGGGACGAGGCAGGGACCCCAGACCAGGCAGGACUUUCGGAGAAGCCUGGGAGAGGGGACUGUCCCUGGGGAACAUUCUCAAAGGUGGGGGUGGGAAGCCAUCGUUCACCCCAGAAAUGAGGCACAGAAACCCCCUCCCCACCAAAGACACCGUGCAGCACUGGGGUGAUGACCCCACGCCUCUGCAAACAGCAGGAUCAGCCUCCCCUGGGGAAUGGGGUGCAAAGCCCCCAUCACUGACGUGGGCUGACAGGGAGCCCUCCCCCCAGGGCAGAGCUACACGCACACCUGGGGCGUGCCAGCCCCUGGCUGCCCUUAGCUGCUCCCUCGGACAAGGCAGAAGCACUAGGGCUGCCAGGUGUAGCCCCCGCCGACACACACAGCCAGACAGGUGGAGUCCCCCCAACACACACAGCCAGACAGGUGUAGCCCCCCCCCGACUCACACAGCCAGAUAGGUGUAGCCCCCCUGACACACACAGCCAGACAGGUGUAGCCACCCCCUGACACACACAGCCAGGCAGGUGUAGCCCCCCCAACACACACAGCCAGACAGGCCUCAGGCUCCGAGACUCUGCUGCAGAACACUGGGCCCACCAGCCUCCAGGACCGGGCCGUCCAUCUGUCCAUCCGUCUCCAGGGCCAGUGUUUACGGAGCCACACCCACCGGCCCAUCCCCCGGGCCACAGCCACCAGCCUACAGGACCAGGCCAUCCAUCUGUCCAUCCGUCUCCAGGGCCAGUGUUUACGGACCACGGGAGCCUGGCUUCUCCACACCACCCUCGGGGUCUUCACAGUCCCAAGCAUGGAGAGGCCCACCUUGUGAGCCACAGCGUCUCGCCUCUGCCCAGCCCACGCAUCCUCUGAGCAAACCCUCCCCAGCUGGCUCUGCGCUCCUGAAGCCAGUCUUCUGCCCACCCCCCGGCCCCUCCAGCUGUCCAGUCUGUCAUCUGUCAGUUCACCCAUCCGUGUGCCCGUCCAUCCCCAGACACUGACGGAGCGACCUGCGUGCAGCCCUCCCAGGCAGUGCGUGGCGUUCGUGGACGCAGGGGCGGGGGCCUACUUGGCAGGAGUUUUGACCUGCUCCGUUUCCGACCUGGACCGGUUCACCCCUCCUUAGGCAACUUGGUGGUCCCCUGCUCCUGGGAGGUCACCAUACUGAUGUGCGGACAGCCAGUCAGCCUAACACACUACAGCCCAGAACUCCCAGGCUCGAGCAACCCUCCUGCCUCAGCCUCCGGAGUAGCUGGGACCGCAGG